AUGGCAGGGCGGAGGUGGCUCCUCUGGCCGAGAGGGACCACGGUGGAGCAAUUCAAGGAGUGGCUGAAGCAGUUCGACGUGGACGGCGACGGCCGGAUCAGCAAGGCGGAGCUCCGCCAGGCCAUCCGCCGCCGGGGCUGCUGGUUCGCCACCCUCAGGGCUGGGCGAGCCCUCCGCCACGCCGACAGGGACUUCGCGCAGAAAGCCCUAGGCAUGAAGAUCUCUGCCUGGAGAAUCGAUAAAGCUUUGCUACUGUGCAGUUGGUUAAUUCUGUGUGUAUGUAUGUGUGCUUGUUAUAUAUACUUAAGAUAA
This 312-nucleotide ribosomal RNA is filed under the name Triticum aestivum (bread wheat). RNAcentral's name for it is "partial small subunit ribosomal RNA". Lineage: Eukaryota; Viridiplantae; Streptophyta; Magnoliopsida; Poales; Poaceae. The record is from RNAcentral.